UAGAAUUUGUGAAAUGCUGACUUUAAAUGAGACUGUUGAAACCCCUAGUUGCACCAUGAACUUGUUUGUCAGUAGCCUGCCUCGAUUUAAAAACUGACCAAUACGCAGAACAAGCUCUUGCGUAUUGAAUCAGUUGAGAUAUAUAAACACCAUAUGCAGGUGAUAAUGGAAUAUUGCUACAUAAAUAUGGGAAGUUGAUGAUGGAGAAGCUGAAGUCAUCCUGUUUAUCAUACAGUUGAGUUGUUAGUUUGCCGUUAACAUCUAUGUUCAAUGAAAUAUCCCAGUAGGAAGCAGAUGUUGGCGAUUAUUUUAAGUUCACUGGAAUAUAUCGAAUUGACAUAUGAAUGAAAAUGAGUAUUGCUGAUAGAUAAAGUGUCAUUGAGAUAUCUAAAUUUGAAUUGGCAGCCAUUUUUUCUCAUGUGGAAACCUUUGAAUAAUUUCUGCCUUGUACGAAUAUAAAACAGGUCAGAUAAUAAAGGAGAACAAUUCGUGUCCAUGGGAAUUCCAACAGACUGUUGGAAGACGACUACAAAAAUAUUGUCAAUGAGGCACUCCAGCUUCAUCGUUAGAGUACUUGUGUAUACAGAGUUGUGUAUAAGAAAGCAAUGUUUUGGAUGACUGACCACAAAAUAUUAAUAUUUCCUUUUCCUAGUUUUAUUAUACGUCCGUCAUUAGACGGGAGGUAUUAUGUUAUGUGCGUCUGGCUGGCUGGCUGGCUGGCCGUACGGAGUCAUGUUUUCCAGACUUUUUUCCAUAACGGAUGCAUGUACAACUUUGAAAUUUGGUCACAAUUUGUCCCUUAAGAAUUGUAAUAGUGAGUUUGCAUUUCAGCUGGAUUAGUCCAUCCUUGACCUACUUUAUGGCUAUAAGUAGGUCAAACAGUUUUCCGGACUUUUUUUCAUUACAGAUACAGAUAUUGCCCUGAAAUUGACACAUAAGCUUCCUUUCAGAGGAAUACAAGUUCAGAUUGUAUUUUAGCUGGAUUGGUCCAUCCUUGACUUACUUUUGGGCUAAAAAUAGGUCAAACCGUUUUCCAUGCUUUUUUUUUAUUAUGGAUACAGAUAUUGCCCUGAUAUUUAGGAAAAAAGGAAGACAAUUGCAAUUAGCAUUUCAUUGGUGCAAUAUGACAGUAUUUUAGGGGUAGAUGUAGGUCACACAGUUUUCCAGAUAUUUUUUAUAUGGUCACAGGUAUUGCUCUGAUUGAUUAAUUGCUGUUUUCCCGCCACACUCAACAAAUUUUCAGUUAUCUGGUGGUGCCCAGUUUUUAUUGGUAGAAAAGAGAACCCAGAUACAAUGUACCUGGGAAAAGACUACCGACCUUCCGAAAGUAAGCUGGGAAACUUCGAACCCGCGCCGACCAGAAGCGAGAGAGAGUGGCCUUGUGACUUUGAGCGCGAUGCUCUAACCACUCGGCCACGGAGACCCUUUGUAUUAGUCUGUAAUUUAGUCACAAUCUCCCUCUCAGAGAAAUACAUAAGCAGUUCACAUUUCAACUUAAUUGGUGCACCAUGACCUAGUUUAGGGCUAAAAGUAGAUCAAAUGUUUUCUGGACUUUUUAUCAUCGUAGAUAGAUAUCGAACCGACAAUUUGUCACAACCUCACUCUCAGAGAAAUAAGUAGGCUUUUCUAUUCACAAUUUGUGUUAUAUCAAUUCAGAAUGCACAGUAUGCUUCCAGGUUGAAUUUCACUGUCCGACGGGCGUAUAUUGUACCGUUUGCGGUACUCUUGUUGAAGAAGCAGUUGUUUAUGAUGUCAUAGAGCCCAUUGUGAGGAAUGGUCGGGUAAAGUGUUGAAAAUCGUACGUUUUGAUGUUGAUUUAAGAGAAGGUUUGUGAUCUCAAAUUUACUAGAAGUUCCUCUGAUUUUUUGUAGAAGUCACAUUUGAUUUACACCACUGGCAUACAUUUAUGUUGUGAUACAAUACGUUUCAAAUUUCUUUUUCACUGCAGUAAAUAUUUUGGUGAGGAGCAAAGAUGGGGGUUGGUAGAACAUUUACUCGAUCCAGCAAUGUAUCUCUGUUCGUAAGGGUUUUUGGUGAAGUUUUGGAAUCCAGUAUAGAUACGAUUUCGACAGAAAAUCAAAGGAUCUGAGAGAAUUGAUGGUGGAUGUGAUGGGUCAAGUUAACGUUAAGAUCUUAGUCGGGUUUUUGGAAAGAAACAACGGUAUGUUCAUCGUUAGGACUCGCGGUAAACGUAGCCAUGCAGGAGACGAUUCAAGACAGUAGGACAGAUUUAGACAAAGUGCAGGAUUUUAAUGAAGACUCGCACCGGUACCCUGACAUGAACACCUAAAUUUUUCGAGCCUCGAAACCAGCCUUGCUUAUGAUCAUGCCGAGUCAUAGCCGUGAUGGAAGUUGCCAGGAAACAACAGGUUAACUUAUCAUCAUAAAGUAAAUAGGCUUAUAACUGUCUACAUGUCUUCGCUUCCAAUAUCAUAGAACUUUAUAAAAUCGCCAUGCAGAAGUUGAAGACGGUAUUUAAAACUGUAUAAAAUGAAACAACAGAAUGAUAUGUUUAAUGUUUCUCUUUUAUAAAUUGAUGACAUUCUUGUUUGUUUACAAAAUAAAAUCUGUAUAAAUAUC
This is a long non-coding RNA of Ostrea edulis (European flat oyster), 2580 nucleotides long. RefSeq lists it as uncharacterized. The record is from RefSeq and is a predicted model, not a curated record. The transcript has 3 exons. NCBI's taxonomy places the organism in Eukaryota, Metazoa, Mollusca, Bivalvia, Ostreida, Ostreidae.